RNAcentral lists this microRNA (22 nucleotides) under Gallus gallus (chicken). Its description in RNAcentral is "gga-miR-12221-3p". The record is from miRBase by way of RNAcentral. Lineage: Eukaryota; Metazoa; Chordata; Aves; Galliformes; Phasianidae.
UUCGUGUGCCAUCGUCCUUUGU